This 329-nucleotide unclassified non-coding RNA is filed under the name soil metagenome. Its description in RNAcentral is "partial contains 5.8S ribosomal RNA, internal transcribed spacer 2, and large subunit ribosomal RNA". The stretch from base 1 to 120 matches the Rfam family "5.8S ribosomal RNA", at positions 35 to 154 of the family's 154-position model. The record is from RNAcentral.
GAUGAAGAACGUAGCGAAAUGCGAUAAGUAGUGUGAAUUACAGAAUUCAGUGAAUCAUCGAAUCUUUGAACGCACAUUGCGCCCCUUGGUAUCCCGAGGGGCAUGCCUGUUCGAGCGUCAUUUCACCACUCAAGCCUGGCUUGGUGUUGGGCGACGUCCCCUUUAGGGACGCGCCUCGAAACGCUCGGCGGCGUGGCACCGGCUUUAAGCGUAGCAGAAUCUUUCGCUUUGGAAGUCGGGGCCCCGCCUGCCGGAAUACCUACUCGUAAGGUUGACCUCGGAUCAGGCAGGGAUACCCGCUGAACUUAAGCAUAUCAAUAAGCGGAGGA